UAACACGUGGGUAACCUGCCCAUCAGAGGGGGAUAACAUUCGGAAACGGAUGCUAAAACCGCAUAGGUCUUCGAACCGCAUGGUUUGAAGAGGAAAAGAGGCACAAGCUUCUGCUGAUGGAUGGACCCGCGGUGCAUUAGCUAGUUGGUGAGGUAACGGCUCACCAAGGCCGUGAUGCAUAGCCGACCUGAGAGGGUGAUCGGCCACGUUGGGACUGAGACACGGCCCAA
This 230-nucleotide ribosomal RNA is filed under the name uncultured bacterium. Its description in RNAcentral is "partial 16S ribosomal RNA". It matches the Rfam family "Bacterial small subunit ribosomal RNA", at positions 111 to 334 of the family's 1533-position model. The record is from RNAcentral.